Molecule: long non-coding RNA, 526 nt
Organism: Pundamilia nyererei
Lineage: Eukaryota; Metazoa; Chordata; Actinopteri; Cichliformes; Cichlidae
Exons: 3
Source: RefSeq, a predicted model, not a curated record
UCAUUUUGCAAGAAGGAGGAAGAAAAAGAAAAGAGCGAUGAGGAUGAAAAACUUCAGUUUAGAGAGUCACCAGUCAUCAGUGAGAAGAGAAGUUUUGAAGAACAAAGUAAAACAGGUAAAAAUAAAAUUGAAUGUGGCUGAAAAAAUCUUUUUAAAAGAAGAAAUGUAAAGAUUUUUCACAUCUGUAGCAGUGAUGUUAUUUUGUGGAGGGAGAGACUGAACGUCUCGAGCAACGAACAUGUUUGUUCUCAUCUGGUCGGCUCUGUUUGUCUCUGUAAAAGGAAGCAUUGCUAAAACGGGUGCCUCUGCCUUGGUGCAAGAACACUGUGGCAAAGGAUACUGUCUUAAUCUCACUGAGCAAGAACUAACAGCAGAGGCUGGACUCUGUGUUGUGAUCCCGUGUUCUUUCACUACUGCUGAUGAGUUUACACCCAAACAUAUAGUUUGGUACAAAUGUAUAGCUCAACACAGGUGCAGUGAAGCUGACAUAAUAUUUCACAGCAACAAAAACACAGACAAAAAAGCU